UACGGAGGGUGCGAACGUUGUUCGGAAUCACUGGGCUUAAAGGGCGCGUAGGCGGCUCUCUUGGUCGUGGGUGAAAUCCCCCAGCUUAACUGGGGAAGGGCUUACGAUACCGGGGGGCUCGAGGGAGGAAGGGGCGGUCGGAACUGUCGGUGGAGCGGUGAAAUGCGUUGAUAUCGACAGGAACGCCGGUGGCGAAAGCGGACCGCUGGCCCUCUUCUGACGCUGAGGCACGAAAGCUAGGGUAGCAAACGGG
Molecule: ribosomal RNA, 253 nt
Filed under: uncultured bacterium
Lineage: Bacteria
Description: partial 16S ribosomal RNA
Rfam family: Bacterial small subunit ribosomal RNA
Source: RNAcentral